UCUCUGUUAGUAUAUCGGUUAGUACACGCGCCUGUCAUUGGACCGCGCGAAAGCUGGGUUCGACUCCCAGACAGAGAG
Molecule: non-coding RNA, 78 nt
Organism: Panaeolus papilionaceus
Lineage: Eukaryota; Fungi; Basidiomycota; Agaricomycetes; Agaricales
Source: the annotation of a GenBank genome assembly